This is a long non-coding RNA of Podarcis raffonei (Aeolian wall lizard), 610 nucleotides long. RefSeq lists it as uncharacterized. The record is from RefSeq and is a predicted model, not a curated record. Lineage: Eukaryota; Metazoa; Chordata; Lepidosauria; Squamata; Lacertidae. The transcript is spliced from 3 exons.
GCUUUUUUUCCAUGUCGUGCCUCUUUCUCCUGCAGGAGGCUUCUUCCAAAGACGUUGAAGUGUUUACUUGGCUCAUACUUGGUAUGAAUGAAUAUUUCUGCAAAAUGUAGGCCACAGUGCCUCAAGCGACAGGAUGUGCCACAGGGGGCACAAGGGAAGAAGAUAUGAAUAAGGAGAGGUGGAAGAUGAUGAACGGGAUGGAGACCCCCUCCCCAAGGCCUUUAUUCAGUGUGCCUUCUGAAUGUCUUUUCCAGAAUGGGUCGCUGCCAGUCAUGUAAGCCAAAGCACAGAUUUCAUGCAGGAUCUAAAAAGCACGGCUAACCUGCUCCCACCACGGGAGAGACCCGGGGAGGGGACUGCAAGGUUGUGGGGCUGUCCGGCUCGCCAUUCCGUGAGAGAGAGCGAGAGCGCUGUUUUGCCAGGCGCAGGCGGCGCAUGUCAGAUCAGCCCCAAAGGAUCCAGGUCACGGUCAAGCCAGGCUGCCGGGCGGAAUCCGGCUGCCUGCGUCCGCCCGGCUCCUUGCGCUUGGAGCGCCAGCGGUGGGCGGGUGUCGGGGCCAAGAGAAGCGGGAGCCGGGGAAGGGGGCGGGGCCUCGGCGGGGCUCGUGACG